GGGAUGGGCCUGCGUCCUAUCAGGUAGUUGGUGAGGUAAGUGCUCACCAAGCCUAUGACGAGUAGCUGGUCUGAGAGGAUGGUCAGCCAGACUGGGACUGCGACACGGCCCAGACUCCUACGGGAGGCAGCAACUAGGAAUUGUGCGCAAUGGACGAAAGUCUGACGCCGCGACAUCGCGUGGAGGAUGAAGGUCUUCGGAUUGUAAACUCCUUUUCUUACCGAACAAGUUCUGAGUGUAGGUAAGGAAUAAGUGCCUGCUAACCACGUGCCAGAAGCAUCGGUAAUACGUGGGGCACGAGCGUUAUCCGGAUUUACUGGGCGUAAAGAGAAGCGUAGGCGGCUCGAUAAGUUUGGUGUUAAAUCUUCCGGCUCAACCGGAAACAAGUACCGAAAACUAUCGAGAUUGAGUCGAGUAGGGAAGAGGGGAAUUCCUGGUGGAGCGGUUAAAUGCGUAGAUAUCAGGAGGAAUACCAAGGGCGAAGGCACCUCUUUGGACUCGUACUGACGCUGAGGCUCGAAAGCGUGGGUAGCAAAACGGAUUAGAUACCCGUGUAGUCCACGCCGUAAACGAUCCCUGUUAGAUGUAUG
This 590-nucleotide ribosomal RNA is filed under the name uncultured organism. Its description in RNAcentral is "bacterial SSU rRNA". It matches the Rfam family "Bacterial small subunit ribosomal RNA", at positions 222 to 826 of the family's 1533-position model. The record is from RNAcentral.